UGCUGAUUUCAGGGCAAAGAUAACGGUCUCUGGCCUCAGGAGGCUGUGUCCAGCCCAGGAGCAGUACCAAAUGCAGGAAAAAGAGACAAAACGUGUCCCAACCUAAUUAACCCCUCUUCCUCUCCCUUUCAUGAGCAGGAUGUGUUUGUGCAGACAAUACUGUGGGCUCUUUCCUCAGUGGUCAAAGCAGCUCAGAUGUCAGUGCUGUUUUGCUGGGGAUAAGACAGCGACUCAGGGCAUCCUCUCUGCAUCGAUGUCUGCCAUGGUUAGCCAGGUCACUCCUGCCCUCAACAGCUACGUGCCAUACUGGCCAGGUCUGGGGGGAUGUGCAGCUAUGAUGGGAGCAGCAGCCUGGCUGUGCUGGCUGGCUCCUGCUCUUACUGCAGACCCCAGCACCAGAGGCCAGAACAAAAUUGAUAAGGAAGGAACAAAAAUGACUCCCUAAAACUAACACCUUGAAGUUACUAUCUAAAGGCUAGAGCUGGCAGUUCUCUUUCCUAGUAAGAGUCUUGGCUUAGUAAACAGCUGCCACAAAAAAGGACCCUGUUUGGGUCCUCUGAGCCACUUGUGACCCCAGAUUGGCAUCCAGAAAUAACCCUUCUUCCCUACUUGGGGCUUUAAGUUAUUUUUCCACUUCUUUGUCUGUUCAGCUUUCUGUGAGACCUAAGCACUGCGCAGUCACGCUGGGGACCAUACUCUAACUCAUCCGUUGACGAUGCCAGCAAAACGUGAACUGCUGCACUUUCAGCUUGGGAAACAGGCACUACAGAACUACGAGCAAGACUGAGGAAUCGAUGCCAAACUUUAACCACAGACAGGCACGAACUUAGUGAACCUGGCAUUUUCCUCAGCCACUUCAAACAAGCCCACUUUUCAAGUAGGAUUUUUACUACAUGAAAGGU
This is a long non-coding RNA of Haliaeetus leucocephalus (bald eagle), 902 nucleotides long. RefSeq lists it as uncharacterized. NCBI's taxonomy places the organism in Eukaryota, Metazoa, Chordata, Aves, Accipitriformes, Accipitridae. The record is from RefSeq and is a predicted model, not a curated record. The transcript is spliced from 2 exons.